AGAGUUUGAUCAUGGCUCAGGACGAACGCUGGCGGCGUGCUUAAUACAUGCAAGUCAUAGGGGCUAAUUUCCUUCGGGAGAUUGGUCACUGGCGCACGGGUGCGUAACGCGUAAGUUAUCUGCCCUUGGGUCUGGCAUAACGUCGGGAAACCGGCGCUAAUUCCAGAUGAUAUCGCAAGAUCAAAGCCUUCGGGCGCCCAAGGAUGAGCUUGCGUCUGAUUAGCUUGUUGGCGGGGUAAUGGCCCACCAAGGCGACGAUCAGUAGCCGGUCUGAGAGGAUGAUCGGCCACAUUGGGACUGAGACACGGCCCAGACUCCUACGGGAGGCAGCAGUAAGGAAUAUUGCGCAAUGGACGAAAGUCUGACGCAGCAACGCCGCGUGCAGGAUGAAGGCCCUUUGGGUUGUAAACUGCUGUAGAAAGGGAAUAAUAGUUUGCCACGGGUGAACUUGAAGGUACCUUUAAAGUAAGCGCCGGCUAACUACGUGCCAGCAGCCGCGGUAAUACGUAGGGCGCAAGCGUUGUCCGGAUUCACUGGGUGUAAAGGGUGCGCAGGCGGAUUGGCAAGUCAGAAGUGAAAUCUUACGGCUCAACCGUGAAACUGCUUUUGAUACUGCUUAUCUUGAGUUCGGGAGAGGUUGAUGGAAUUCCAGGUGUAGCGGUGAAAUGCGUAGAUAUCUGGAAGAACACCAGUGGCGAAGGCGGUCAACUGGCCCGCAACUGACGCUCAUGCACGAAAGCGUGGGGAUCAAACAGGAUUAGAUACCCUGGUAGUCCACGCCCUAAACGAUGUACGCUUGGUGUUGGCUCUUUAGAGUCAGUGCCGUAGGUAACCUGUUAAGCAUACCACCUGGGGAGUACGCUCGCAAGGGUGAAACUCAAAGGAAUUGACGG
This 893-nucleotide ribosomal RNA is filed under the name uncultured bacterium. RNAcentral describes it as "bacterial SSU rRNA". It matches the Rfam family "Bacterial small subunit ribosomal RNA", at positions 8 to 916 of the family's 1533-position model. The record is from RNAcentral.